RNAcentral lists this ribosomal RNA (521 nucleotides) under uncultured bacterium. RNAcentral's name for it is "bacterial SSU rRNA". It matches the Rfam family "Bacterial small subunit ribosomal RNA", at positions 827 to 1351 of the family's 1533-position model. The record is from RNAcentral.
GGGGACUAACCCUUCCGUGCCGGAGUAAACACAAUAAGCAUUCCACCUGGGGAGUACGACCGCAAGGUUGAAACUCAAAGGAAUUGACGGGGGCCCGCACAAGCAGUGGAGUAUGUGGUUUAAUUCGAAGCAACGCGAAGAACCUUACCAGGUCUUGACAUCCAACUAACGAACUAGAGAUAGAUUAGGUGCCCUUCGGGGAAAGUUGAGACAGGUGGUGCAUGGUUGUCGUCAGCUCGUGUCGUGAGAUGUUGGGUUAAGUCCCGCAACGAGCGCAACCCCUGCCAUUAGUUGCUACGCAAGAGCACUCUAAUGGGACCGCUACCGACAAGGUGGAGGAAGGUGGGGACGACGUCAAAUCAUCAUGCCCCUUAUGACCUGGGCUACACACGUACUACAAUGGCCGUUAACAGAGGGAAGCAACACAGCGAUGUAGAGCAAACCCCUAAAAACGGUCUCAGUUCAGAUUGUAGGCUGCAACUCGCCUAUAUGAAGUCGGAAUUGCUAGUAAUCGCGGAUCA